CGCUAAAGAAGUUUGGGACACUCUACGGCAAACAUAUCAGCGUAUUUCUGCUGGAAGCAAGAUGCUGUUAACCAGAAAGUUAUAUAACUUAAAAUUGAAACCGGAUGGCUGUUUAAAUAGCCAUAUAAAUGAAAUGAGAAUGAUUUUUGCUGAUUUAGCUGACAGAGGUCUGCAGUAUGAAGAGGCUCACCGUGCUUACAUACUAUUGUCUUCAUUACCUAAAACUUAUGAUGCAGUUGUAGACUCUUUUCAAGGAAUUGAUGAAGACAGAUUAAAUUUUUCCUUAGUAGUCACACGUUUACAAGAGUGGACUGAGCAAAAGAGGCUAACACGACAAGAAGAAGUUGCGUCAGACAGGGCAGUAAACAUAAAAUCUGAACCUUUGAGUGCCUUGGCAGUGAAAAAGUGCCACUUCUGUCAUAGGAAAGGACAUCUUAUUAAAGACUGUUGGAAACGCAAACAACAGGCGUCCAUUUCUCGUCAGAAAGAGAGCAGCAAGCGGUAUGCUGACAAUUAUAAUGCUUCUGAUAAGCAACACAACAGUUCGACUGCUUUGGUAAUGGCAGUCAGUAAGAAGAAUUCGGCCAAUCCCGUGUGGUACGUGGACAGCGGAAGCUGUGAACAUUUUUCAUCAAGAAGGGACAAUUUGACUGACAUUCACCAGAUUGAGGCGAGAGAUGUAAAGCUAGCUGAUGGACAUACCUGCACCGUCCAUGAAGCGGGAACCGCUUACAUUCCUCAAAUGAAUGCUUCUAUUAGUAAUGUUAUUGUGGCUGACACUUUAAAGUAUUCACUGUUGAGUGUGUCUAGACUCACAAGUGAAGGGUAUAGAGUGCUCUUUCAUGGGGAGGUUUGUCUAAUUUCUGAAAAUGGCAAACUAUAUGGAAAGGCAAUUAAAGAAAAUGGUCUAUACAGAUUGAUAGACAUAUCUGAUAGUGAAGAAGAUGCUAUAAAUUGUAUUUCAAAUAAUUUGCAUAAUUAUUGCAUACAUUAUUACCACAGAAUUUUCGGACAUUGUUCUUUCUCCAGA
Molecule: long non-coding RNA, 1030 nt
Organism: Salvator merianae (Argentine black and white tegu)
Lineage: Eukaryota; Metazoa; Chordata; Lepidosauria; Squamata; Teiidae
Source: Ensembl